RNAcentral lists this transfer RNA (89 nucleotides) under candidate division WWE3 bacterium. RNAcentral describes it as "tRNA-Ser". It matches the Rfam family "tRNA". From Rfam's summary of the family: Transfer RNA (tRNA) molecules are approximately 80 nucleotides in length. Their secondary structure includes four short double-helical elements and three loops (D, anti-codon, and T loops). Lineage: Bacteria; candidate division WWE3. The record is from RNAcentral.
GGAGGGUUGUCCGAGUGGCCUAAGGAGACGGUUUGCUAAACCGUUGCUGCGAAAGCGGCACGUGGGUUCGAAUCCCACACCCUCCGCCA